This 497-nucleotide ribosomal RNA is filed under the name uncultured bacterium. RNAcentral describes it as "partial 16S ribosomal RNA". It matches the Rfam family "Bacterial small subunit ribosomal RNA", at positions 28 to 507 of the family's 1533-position model. The record is from RNAcentral.
GAUGAACGCUGGCGGCGUGCCUAAUACAUGCAAGUCGAGCGAACGGACGAGAAGCUUGCUUUUCUGAUGUUAGCGGCGGACGGGUGAGUAACACGUGGAUAACCUACCUAUAAGACUGGGAUAACUUCGGGAAACCGGAGCUAAUACCGGAUAAUAUUUUGAACCGCAUGGUUCAAAAGUGAAAGACGGUCUUGCUGUCACUUAUAGAUGGAUCCGCGCUGCAUUAGCUAGUUGGUAAGGUAACGGCUUACCAAGGCAACGAUGCAUAGCCGACCUGAGAGGGGGAUCGACCAAACGGGAACUGAAACAGGGCCAAGACUCCAAGGGGGGGCAGAGUGGGGAAUUCUCCAAAAAGGGGAAAAACCCUGACGAGAAACCGCCGGGUGAGGAUGAAAGGUUUUGGGAUCGAAAACCUUUUUUAUAGGGAAAAAAAAUAGGUGAAAAAAAUUGGAAAAAUUUUGCCGUUACCAAAUAAAAAACCCACGACAAACUCCGUC